This 253-nucleotide ribosomal RNA is filed under the name uncultured bacterium. Its description in RNAcentral is "partial 16S ribosomal RNA". It matches the Rfam family "Bacterial small subunit ribosomal RNA", at positions 524 to 776 of the family's 1533-position model. The record is from RNAcentral.
UACGUAGGGGGCUAGCGUUGUCCGGAAUCAUUGGGCGUAAAGAGCGUGUAGGCCGUCCGGUAAGUCCGCUGUGAAAGUCGGGGGCUCAACCCUCGAAUGCCGGUGGAUACUGUCGGGCUAGAGUGCGGAAGAGGCGAGUGGAAUUCCUGGUGUAGCGGUGAAAUGCCCAGAUAUCAGGAGGAACACCUAUUGCGAAGGCAGCUCGCUGGGACGUUACUGACGCUGAGACGCGAAAGCGUGGGGAGCAAACAGG